RNAcentral lists this transfer RNA (76 nucleotides) under Bryobacterales bacterium. RNAcentral describes it as "tRNA-Ala". It matches the Rfam family "tRNA". From Rfam's summary of the family: Transfer RNA (tRNA) molecules are approximately 80 nucleotides in length. Lineage: Bacteria; Pseudomonadati; Acidobacteriota; Terriglobia; Bryobacterales. The record is from RNAcentral.
GGGCCUGUGGCGCAGUUGGGAGCGCGCUUCCAUGGCCUGGAAGAGGUCAAGGGUUCGAAUCCCUUCAGGUCCACCA